CGAGUGGAGGAAUCCUAGGGUGUGCCUGGAGGUGGCGGAGUGUACCGACGCGGGUGUGAGCGCGUGUGCCAGCGAGGGUGGGCACGGGGGUGAGCGUGGCAAGGGCAGCAGCACCUGCUUGAGACCAAGCCCGGCGACCUGGCAAGGUGGGGCCCCCUACCGCGCAAUCUUUGCGGCUGGCCCCCGGCUCUCAGCUCCGAGUGCAGAGGCUGAAGAGGUACCCGGGGGACACACUGCCUCUAACCCCACCUAUGAGCCGCUCUCCUCUCGGAGGACGAAGGCACCAUCAGAAGGUCGAGAUUCGCCCUCCUCUCCCGCCACGUCUACCCACUACCUAGACCGGGAGUCUGGACUUGGGAGCGUGAACUCUCACCCGAGCCGGUCCCCUUACAACUGGAGCCCGCCCAGCCCCUCAGUCCCUCCCUGAAGCCCAUGGGUCCCCACUGCUCCGUGCCUCGUCGACCCAGGAUGGGGAGUGGGAAGGUCAGCAUGUGCCCACAGGGCCAGGUGUCCGGCCCAGAUUCCCACCCUCAGGGCGGCGGCGCGCAAAGGGCGCAGUCCCCGCCGCUGGGCGGACCCGCGGCUCCGGCUUUCCCGGUGUCUCCAGCCUCGGUGCCCGGAAUCCUGGAUCUCGGCCUGGCGCUCCGGAAGCGAGGCAGCUCCGUGCCCCAGCAGGGACGGGGAACGCUUGGCUUGAGAGAUCACAUUU
Molecule: long non-coding RNA, 709 nt
Filed under: Homo sapiens (human)
Lineage: Eukaryota; Metazoa; Chordata; Mammalia; Primates; Hominidae
Description: non-protein coding LINC01750:13
Source: RNAcentral